UAGGGAAUCUUCCGCAAUGGGCGAAAGCCUGACGGAGCAACGCCGCGUGAGUGAUGAAGGUCUUCGGAUCGUAAAACUCUGUUAUUAGGGAAGAACAAAUGUGUAAGUAACUAUGCACGUCUUGACGGUACCUAAUCAGAAAGCCACGGCUAACUACGUGCCAGCAGCCGCGGUAAUACGUAGGUGGCAAGCGUUAUCCGGAAUUAUUGGGCGUAAAGCGCGCGUAGGCGGUUUUUUAAGUCUGAUGUGAAAGCCCACGGCGCAACCGUGGAGGGUCAUUGGAAACUGGUUGACUUGAGUGCAGAAGAGGAGAGUGGAAUUCCAUGUGUAGCGGUGAAAUGCGUAGAUAUAUGGAGGAACACCAGUGGCGAAGGCGACUCUCUGGUCUGUAACUGACGCUGAGGCUCGAAAGCGUGGGUAGCAAACAGG
This 429-nucleotide ribosomal RNA is filed under the name Bacteroidota bacterium. RNAcentral describes it as "Bacteroidetes bacterium partial 16S ribosomal RNA". It matches the Rfam family "Bacterial small subunit ribosomal RNA", at positions 355 to 776 of the family's 1533-position model. Lineage: Bacteria; Pseudomonadati; Bacteroidota. The record is from RNAcentral.